GCCGGUGUCGUAUAGAGGUUAGUACAAGUCGUUGUGGCCGACUAAACCCAGGUUCGAUUCCUGGCACCGGCA
Molecule: non-coding RNA, 72 nt
Organism: Lodderomyces parapsilosis
Lineage: Eukaryota; Fungi; Ascomycota; Pichiomycetes; Serinales; Debaryomycetaceae
Source: the annotation of a RefSeq genome assembly